Molecule: RNA transcript, 3074 nt
Organism: Lactuca sativa (garden lettuce)
Lineage: Eukaryota; Viridiplantae; Streptophyta; Magnoliopsida; Asterales; Asteraceae
Gene name: cysteine-rich receptor-like protein kinase 2
Source: RefSeq, a predicted model, not a curated record
UGUUUGGGUUAUUAUAGUCGUCUUUGCUUGAGUUAAAUAGUCAUCUAUAUAUCAAUUAUCAUAUGGUCCCAACAUUUAUACAUCAUUUGAGUUUAUUGGUGACAAAGUUUAGUCAAAAUCAAUUCACUUGGCUUUGAUCAGCACUUGUUAGGCAACUUCCUCGAUCCCCUUAUUCUUCUGAAAUUGUUCUGGCUUCUCACGUUGAGUGGGCGAUGGUUGUCUUAGUUGUGUUUCUUGUGUUUUUGUUGAUUCAGCCAGGAAUUUCACAGUCAAACGACCAUGAUAACAACACUAACAUUCAUCUUCAAUCGUUCUGUGGUAGUAUCGCUCCAAUACAUCCUACAAAUUUCAUCAAGAAUCGUAACUCUACCUUAGCUGAACUCAGAAAGCAAUUAAUGAAUGAAGGAGUACUAUCUGCAAGAGCACAGGAUUUAAGUGCUGGGGACACGGUCUAUGCAGCAGCUCAGUGCAGGAACUACCUAUCCAAAGAUCAGUGUGUGGCUUGUUUUGAUGCUGGCGUUUCUGUACUGGUCAAAUGCACAGCUGGCAAUGGUGCUUACACACUCUUCGAUAACUGCUUUAUCAGGUACGAAGACUUUGCUGACUUCUAUAAUAACCCAAAUGUGGUCCAGGAUGGGACUGGCACACCAUCUUCACGAUGUGGUGAUCAGUCAGCAUCACAGCCGAUUACAACUUUUCAAGGAGUUGUAGAUGACUUGCUAACCGAUAUUAGAGAUGCUACUCCAAAAGCAUCUAAUUUCUAUGUAGCAUUGACAAGGGAAAUCGCAAGUGAUAAUGCAACAGUGUAUGCGAUUGGACAGUGUGAUGGAAAUAAAAUCCCAUGUCAAAAUUGCAUGAAUGCAGCAUAUAACGAAUUAAAUAAUUGUCUUCCAAGAACCGAAGGAUGGUUUUUCGACAUGGGUUGUUUUGCAAGGUAUUCAACGACUCCAUUUUUCAAUAACAACCAAACAACAGAUAUCACAAGUGUCUUAAAAGGGCAUUCAAGUGAGGUACCCAUAAUUGUUGGAACAAUUGCUGGCAUAGCUUUGUUUUUCACUAUCAUUGUCAUGUGGUUAGUGUAUCGAAAACGGAAGAAAGCUAAAGAGAUUGAGCAAGAAGAUUUGAAGGGUGCAGUACAUUACAAUUAUAAAGAUCUGCAGCUGGCUACCAAUAAUUUUGGGGAAGAGAAUAUUCUAGGGAAAGGAGGUUUUGGUGAAGUAUUCAAGGCAACCCUUGAUGAUAACAAUGUUGUGGCAGUAAAGAAACUUCAUGUACAACAUGCUAGAGUAAAAGAAGAAUUUGAGAAUGAAGUUAAGCUUAUAAGUGACGUUCAUCAUCGAAAUCUUCUACGUCUCCUUGGAUGGUCCAGUGAAGGAUCUGAUCUACUUCUAGUCCUGGAAUAUAUGCCAAAUGGAAGCCUUGAUCGAUUCUUAUGGGGUUCUGAAAGGGGAACUCUGGACUGGAACCAACGAUAUGAAAUAAUAUUUGGGAUAGCCAGGGGUCUUGCUCAUCUACACAACGAAUUUCAUGUCAAAAUCAUUCACAGAGAUAUUAAAUCAAACAACAUUCUUCUUACUGAUGAUUUUAAACCAAAGAUAGCAGAUUUUGGUCUGGCAAGGUUUCUACCUGAGGAUGAAACUCAUGUUAGCACCAAGUUUGCUGGGACAUUGGGUUACACAGCGCCAGAAUAUGCACUUCAAGGUGUUUUAUCGGAUAAAGUUGACACUUACAGCUUUGGAGUUGUGAGUCUUGAAAUCAUUAGUGGCCGGAGGAGUACUGAAGUGAAAUCUGACAUAUCAUCCUCCGACUACCUACUGGAAGAUGCAUGGAAGUCAUAUGAGAAGAAAACACAUAUGAAAUUCAUUGAUGUCACAUUGGACUUGAACCAACACCAGCAAGAACAUGUGAUGAAGAUCAUUGAGAUUGCUUUGUUGUGCACCCAAUCGCCAGCUUCGAAGAGACCAACCAUGUCGGAGGUCGUUUUGAUGCUUCAGGAUGGCCAAUCAUUGGGGAAAAGAGAGCUAACCAGACCUACUGAUGUACACAAUCAUGAAAGGAGGAUUCAUAUUGGCUCUUUAAAGAAUUCCAUUGUUGCUGAUAAUGUUUGCAAAAACCCAAAGCAAAUAUUAGAGGCGAAUGAGAAGCUACGUAGUGAAAGAGGAAUGCCAAAGUAGAUGUAAUGGAGAAAGGGAUGGAUGUUGCAAAGAUCAAAUAAAUCAAGGAUUCAGGGUUGAUGAUGCAGUGUGCUCAAGGAGAAAGGAGAAAGAGAACACGAAUUUGUUUGAAAAUCUACCGGUCGACAUGAAUGUGGUAAACUUUGAACAGGGUCGGCCUGGGCGAGUUGGGCAGAGGCCCAUGACAGCAAAGAGAAGAGGGGCAUAACUUUAGUCCAUCAUUCUAAUGUAUUAGGUUUUCGGCCCAAAUGAUUUCAUCCCGGAUUGACUGUGGGUUUACUCGCUCUAGUUCCCGUCUUCCCAAUCGUCUCCUAGAAUGAUGAAAGGUCCAAAUUUAGAAGACGAGUUCAUUGGUUUCCCCGAUCAUCAAUUGGUCAAGAGACUCGUAUUUGGAUACAUAAUGGAUACCCUCUCCCGAUUUCUUUCUUGUACACAAGAACGGUGAUUUAUACAAACUCUAAUCUCUUGUCGCUCGAUUUCUCUAAACUCUUUUUUCUUAUCUUUUUUUAUACCAUUUUCUCUUCCGAUUUCUGUGACUAUCUUGAUAUUUAUCUACUCUCCAAUGUGGAGCUCAUCAGAGUUGUAAUGGAAGUAUUCUCCUAUUUAGGACGAUCAUGCCCCUGUUGCUAUGGAAUUGUCCAGUUCUCCAUUUGUUACUUAGCUUUUCUAGAUGUUUUGCUUUCGUGUUACUUUUCUGGAUUUGGAGUUUUACCUAGGUGUAUGGUUACGUUAUUCUUUCUUUGGUCGGUUUGGAUUUUAAAGGUGCCUCCCUCUACAUAUUGUUUUGCCAAUUUGGACGAUUAUACCAUUAUUGCUCUAGGGGUAUUUAAUUUUUGUAAUCCCCUUCAAGUUAUCACGAUUUUGGUUUCAAAUAGUAUUAAGAGCCUGGUUGGACGAUUA